This 271-nucleotide long non-coding RNA is filed under the name Oryctolagus cuniculus (rabbit). RNAcentral describes it as "lncRNA (ENSOCUG00000036786.1)". Lineage: Eukaryota; Metazoa; Chordata; Mammalia; Lagomorpha; Leporidae. The record is from RNAcentral.
CAUGACGAGAUCUUGAAGAAAGUCAUUUCAAGCAAUUAUUGGAAAAGUGGUUUGGAAAACUUUAAGAAGUUAUGUUUGUGUAAUACCUGAGACUAACUGGAGAUAAAUAAACAUUGAGCACAAAAACAAGAAACGGGAAUGGGAAGUGGAGCUACAAUUUGAAUCCAGGCACACUGAUACAGGAUACAGGCAUGGUUGAUGAUGGAGGGGAUUAAGCCUGGAUGAGAUACCUGGGAGGCAGCAGAUGCUGGAUCGAGGACUUGGGUCCCUG